GCCCCCUAAAUGCGGUCGAGCGGACUAAUGGGAGCUUGCUCCCGUUAGUUAGCGGCGGACGGGUGAGUAACACGUGGGCAACCUACCUGUAAGACUGGGAUAACUUCGGGAAACCGGAGCUAAUACCGGAUGACAUAAAGGAACUCCUGUUCCUUUAUUGAAAGAUGGCUUCGGCUAUCACUUACAGAUGGGCCCGCGGCGCAUUAGCUAGUUGGUGAGGUAACGGCUCACCAAGGCGACGAUGCGUAGCCGACCUGAGAGGGUGAUCGGCCACACUGGGACUGAGACACGGCCCAGACUCCUACGGGAGGCAGCAGUAGGGAAUCUUCCGCAAUGGACGAAAGUCUGACGGAGCAACGCCGCGUGAGCGAUGAAGGCCUUCGGGUCGUAAAGCUCUGUUGUUAGGGAAGAAUAAGUGCUAGUUGAAUAAGCUGGCACCUUGACGGUACCUAACCAGAAAGCCACGGCUAACUACGUGCCAGCAGCCGCGGUAAUACGUAGGUGGCAAGCGUUGUCCGGAAUUAUUGGGCGUAAAGCGCGCGCAGGCGGUUUCUUAAGUCUGAUGUGAAAGCCCCCGGCUCAACCGGGGAGGGUCAUUGGAAACUGGGAAACUUGAGUGCAGAAGAGGAAAGUGGAAUUCCAAGUGUAGCGGUGAAAUGCGUAGAGAUUUGGAGGAACACCAGUGGCGAAGGCGACUUUCUGGUCUGUAACUGACGCUGAGGCGCGAAAGCGUGGGGAGCAAACAGGAUUAGAUACCCUGGUAGUCCACGCUGUAAACGAUGAGUGCUAAGUGUUAGAGGGUUUCCGCCCUUUAGUGCUGAAGUUAACGCAUUAAGCACUCCGCCUGGGGAGUACGGUCGCAAGACUGAAACUCAAAGGAAUUGACGGGGGCCCGCACAAGUGGUGGAGCAUGUGGUUUAAUUCGAAGCAACGCGAAGAACCUUACCAGGUCUUGACAUCCUCUGACACCCUAGAGAUAGGGCUUUCCCUUCGGGGACAGGAGUGACAGGUGUGCAUGGAUGUCGUCAGCUCGUGUCGUGAGAUGUUGGGUUAGUCCCGCAACGAGCGCACCGUGAUCUUAGUGCCAGCAUUCAGUGGGCACUCUAAGUGACUGCGGUGACAACGAAGGAAGGUGGGAUGACGUCAAUCAUCAUGGCGCUUAUGACUGCUACACGUCUACAUGCAUGGUCAG
Molecule: ribosomal RNA, 1192 nt
Filed under: Bacillus sp. (in: firmicutes)
Lineage: Bacteria; Bacillati; Bacillota; Bacilli; Caryophanales; Bacillaceae
Description: bacterial SSU rRNA
Rfam family: Bacterial small subunit ribosomal RNA
Source: RNAcentral